RNAcentral lists this ribosomal RNA (484 nucleotides) under uncultured bacterium. Its description in RNAcentral is "partial 16S ribosomal RNA". It matches the Rfam family "Bacterial small subunit ribosomal RNA", at positions 30 to 507 of the family's 1533-position model. The record is from RNAcentral.
AUUGAACGCUAGCGGGAUGCUUUACACAUGCAAGUCGAACGGCAGCGCGGACUUCGGUCUGGCGGCGAGUGGCGAACGGGUGAGUAAUGUAUCGGAACGUGCCCAGUAGCGGGGGAUAACUACGCGAAAGCGUAGCUAAUACCGCAUACGCCCUACGGGGGAAAGCAGGGGAUCGUAAGACCUUGCACUAUUGGAGCGGCCGAUAUCGGAUUAGCUAGUUGGUGAGGUAACGGCUCACCAAGGCGACGAUCCGUAGCUGGUUUGAGAGGACGACCAGCCACACUGGGACUGAGACACGGCCCAGGCUCCUACGGGAGGCAGCAGUGGGGAAUUUUGGACAAUGGGGGCAACCUUGAUCCAGCCAUCCCGCGUGUGCGAUGAAGGCCUUCGGGUUGUAAAGCACUUUUGGCAGGAAAGAAACGUCGCGGGCUAAUACCCCGUGGAACUGACGGUACCUGCAGAAUAAGCACCGGCUAACUACGUG